This 494-nucleotide ribosomal RNA is filed under the name uncultured bacterium. RNAcentral's name for it is "partial 16S ribosomal RNA". It matches the Rfam family "Bacterial small subunit ribosomal RNA", at positions 28 to 507 of the family's 1533-position model. The record is from RNAcentral.
GACGAACGCUGGCGGCGUGCUUAACACAUGCAAGUCGAACGGAAAGGCCUGCUUUCCCUUGUGGAUUGCGGGUACUCGAGUGGCGAACGGGUGAGUAACACGUGAGUGAUCUGCCCCCAACUUGGGUAUAAGCCUGGGAAACUGGGUCUAAUUCCCGAUAGGACUGCAGGGUGGUGCCUGUGGUGGAAAACGAUUUUCUAGUGGUUGGGGAUGAGCUCGCGGCCUAUCAGCUUGUUGGUGGGGUAAUGGCCUACCAAGGCGGCGGCGGGUAGCCGGCCUGAGAGGGUGGACGGGCACAUUGGGACUGGGAUACGGCCCAGACUCCUACGGGAGGCAGCAGUGGGGAAGAUUGGACAAUGGGCGGAAGCCUGAUGCAGCGACGCCGCGUGGGGGAUGACGGCCUUCGGGUUGUAAACUCCUUUCGACCGCGAGGAAGCCACCUGGUUGGAAGGGUGGUGACGGUAGUGGUAGAAGAAGCACCGGCUAACUACGUG